Molecule: non-coding RNA, 6333 nt
Organism: Cherax quadricarinatus
Lineage: Eukaryota; Metazoa; Arthropoda; Malacostraca; Decapoda; Parastacidae
Source: RefSeq, a predicted model, not a curated record
UCAACAUUAUACAGAAAAGUCCGGCAGAACAAUAAUAAGCCUCUGCCGCCAGCUGUCUUAUAAAGGAUUCGCCAUAUUUUCUUUAGCUACUUGGUCAUGUUCCACUCAUCCCCCGAUCCGGGGGGGGGGGCCAUCACCGGGUCACCAUCUGGAAAAGACCCGGGCCGGGACAGUAACGGCGAACCACCUACUAUUACUACUACUACAGGUUCCAGUCGCUACGAGGCUAGAUAUUUAUCCCAAGAGAGCAUUGAACGUUUAAGAUACUGAAAUGGAGUAGGACCGUCAGUCUGGGGAAACAGUCUGCAUAACUCACUCCUGCCGUGUCCCAGCGAGGUAAGGUGACUCAGAAGUGAACAUUAACCGUUAUUCACUUAAUCAUCGUCUUGCCAGUGUUCUGACAUCACAGUUCAGAUGAACGUCUACACAACAUCCUCCACCAUUUUUCAGCGUGCAAGGACUGUACUUCCCACCUCUAGGACCCUUCUCCAGUACACCUUCCCAUCUCUCAUCACUCACUGUAAGGAGGAAUGGAACAGAGACUGCGAAGCCAGCCAUGUCGACUGGGAAUUUCCUUCCUCCAAUCCAGCCAUCAUACCAGCCGAUAAACCUGCCAUCCUUGAGCACUGGGGUGGACAACCCCGCCUCCGUCAGCAGCCCCACUGGGAACAUAGACACCACUCUGGUGUAGCGCAUCUGAAAACAAAAAUACAUCGAUGAAGACAUUCUUAGUAUUACCCAGGAUAACACAACACAGGCAAGCAGCAUGACUUAUUUCCAUUGUGGUCCUGUACUAGGAUAUGAUCCUUAACAGCUGACUAUUUCUUAGCUACGUAUUUGCAUUGUGAAUAUAAUCAACAUGUCUUAGGAGAAUUGUUACUAUCAACACAGGUGCUUUGAGUUGUGAGCAUUACUGUACCACCGAGCUACUAGUCACGUAUAAAUUUAUGCAGUGGUUCUGAUGGCACAUACACUGUAUGUAGGCAUACACAUGUAGGAAUAUUAUGAUUUUUAAUUAUUUAUCGUAGGCUAACCCAGUAAAGUCAUUGGAACGUCCACAUUUAAACAGGAAAAGACCCGGUUUAUAUACAUAAUCCAGAGGAUUAACGUAACAUUUACCUCUAUAAUUUUGGAAACACUAGAGUUAAAUGUUAUGUUAAACAGGAACCAAUUAUGAAUAAUACGUAUUAGUUGAAGGCUCAUAGAAUGCAAGCAGAGUACUUCUUAGCUGAUGGUUGAUAGUAUGUUAGCAAAAUAUACAUUGUCAUAAGAAAAUCUUGUCUACAGUGAUAGGAAGGCAAACUAGCUAAGCAAGUGAACACUGCCACCACAAGCAAACAAGUAGACACCAUCACCACAAUCAAGUCGACACUUAACAUUAGCUCUAGUCAAGAAGGAUGGGAUCAGUUCUCAGGAAAUGAUGAGCCAGACAAACAUCUGUCUUACUGUUGACACACCAGUGGAAUGAAUACGAGGUAGUAGCAAGUGCUAAAACCACUGGAAUGUUAAAAAAAAAAAUUACGUAAUGACUUCUUGAAAACGCACCACCACGACCAUAGCACUGCUUUUGUAGCUGUAAAUAGGCAAUUACAAAUAGGUUGAAGAGGCAGUCACAGUUCAUCAGAUGGGAAACUAAUACCCCAAUUUCUCCAAUAAAAAUGGUAAAUUGGGGCAUACACAGCUCAAAGCCAAGUCAAACCUUCUACUUCAAAACAACUACCAUGUACAAAAGAACACUCCCACCACUACUUUCAAGUAAAUACCAGCAUACUUCCUCAAAAAUCUGGAUAUCGUAGGUGUUAUCGUCGUCUGCGAAGUACAAGACUCCCUCAGUGGCGUGGGCUCGUAUCCACUCCAUCCCACCAUUCCUGUUGGCCACGCCCUUGGGCCUUGCUAGCUCUUUCUUAAACUCCUGUGGCAUGGGUGCUGAGGGAGGAUGCAGAAGUAAGGGUAUACAUAAGGAGAUGAACAUAAAGUAGUCCCCUCAAGGGAGGUUCCUUGACGCUGGUGAGGGGCUCUUGAUUUAGAGAAUUGGAUAUGUGCUCCGGUUCCCUGAAUUGAGCCUGAAUACCUUAGACAACCCCCCCCCCUCCCCACAGGCGCUGUAUAAUCCUACGGGUUUAGCACUUCCCCCCUUAAUAAUAAUGUACAAAAAGUAGAAGUGUUCUCCAAUAAGUAGAGGUAGGUGGGGGAAGACUUCCUCAGCAGGUAGAAUUAUACUUCCUCAGCAGGUAGAAUUAUACUUACUCAGCAGGUAGAAUUAUACUUACUCAGCAGGUAAGUGUAGGGAAGGUGGAUUCUUUUGAGAAGGUGGAUCACUUGGGGAUUGGUUGUAUUGGUAUCGUCAGCGACGAUCCAGUGAAUGUUGGGCACGUUCACCAGGGUCUGGGCUAGCCUUGUCAGCUCCGGUAUCUGCGGAGAAAGACAAGUCAGCCAGGUAGACAACCAGUUAGCUCGUCUGUCAGUCAGGCAACCGAGUAGUCAGCUAGCUCGCCUGUCAUCCAGAGAACCAAGUAGUCAGCUAGCUCGCCUGUCAUCCAGAGAACAAAGUAGUCAGCUAGCUCGCCUGUCAGUCAGGCAACCGAGUAGUCAGCUAGCUCGCCUGUCAUCCAGAGAACCAAGUAGUCAGCUAGCUCGCCUGUCAUCCAGAGAACAAAGUAGUCAGCUAGCUCGUCUGUCAGUCAGGCAACCGAGUAGUCAGCUAGCUCGCCUGUCAUCCAGAGAACCAAGUAGUCAGCUAACUCGCCUGUCAUCCAGAGAACCAAGUAGUCAGCUAGCUCGCCUGUCAUCCAGUCAACCAGUUAGUCGGCGCGUCAUGCAGUGCUGCAGGUGUAAAUUCGUGUAAAAACAAAUGUACUCUCUAUUUACAUUUCCCGAUUAAAGUCAACAUGGUUUUUCAAAAUAUAUUUAUAUUUUACGUAUUUUCCUUACAAGCGUGUAACAUUAAACAAGCUUGUUGAAACGACCAGCUGCAGCCUCUUUACUCCACUCCCGGUGUGUUUGCACACACUCCCGGUGUGUUUGAACACACUCCCGGUGUGUCUGCACACACUCCCGGUGUGUCUGCACACACUCCCGGUGUGUCUGCACACACUCCCGGUGUGUCUGCACACACUCCCGGUGUGUCUGCACACACUCCCGGUGUGUCUGCACACACUCCCGGUGUGUCUGCACACACUCCCGGUGUGUCUGCACACACUCCCGGUGUGUGUGCACACACUCCCGGUGUGUGUGCACACACUCCCGGUGUGUCUGCACACACUCCCGGUGUGUGUGUACACACUCCCAGUUGUCAGUCCUCAGCAGACUAACACUAGUCGUCAUAAAAAUCACACUGUUCUCAAGGGAACAAAGUGCAGAAACAAGAUAAGUGACGUUGACAAGAAUGUUAUCAGUCGUUGUUGGUACAGUACUUAGUACAAGAUUUGCGCAACGGGAAGCAGGUUUGCAGUGAGUAAACGUGUGCGUAUUUCUCACCUGUUCCAGCCUCUUGUAGGUGGGGGUGACGAUGUAGAUGGUGGGUAGGCUGUUAGGACGCUUCUUGAGCCGAAACACCGUAUCCAGUAACUGAUUCAGUCGACCUUUGAUGGGGUAAAACAAUUAGCACACAGUUUGGUGCAGUGUGAUGCCAUACACUUUACACAGUUGAAGUAUAAAAUAGCCUACCCCGUGGCAGAUGCUGCAAAUGUAUGGAAUAGGUAGUAGGCUACUAAAAAUUUAGUUAAUCAAAUUGAGGCUCAGUUUGGAAUAUGUAAGAGGGAGGACUAAUUACCAGUGAUAGAACUUAGGAUGCGUAUUGUCACUAUGGUAUUAAACAUUUUUAUUGAUGAGGGUGUAAAUGAAUGCUGUGGUGUUGAGAAGAUGUGUGGGAUUAAAAGAUGUCGGAUCUGAAGCAUCGCGUUUUAGAGGCUGUAGCAUCCAGCUGGCUUAUCAGUGUUAGGAGUGAAUGGAAACUGGUUUUUAAUGGACGUGUUACUGGAGUAUGAGCAAGGUAGUAUUUAUGAAGAGAUUCAGGGAAACCGGCUAGCCGGACUUGUGCACUGGAAGUGGGAAGGGCAGUGCCUGCACUCUGAAGGAAGGGUGGGGAUAUUAGUCGGAGGAUAAUCUGAAUUGUGACGUCAACACACUUCUAGUAAGAAAAACAGUUGAAUGAAUCAUGGUGAGGUGUUUUCUUUGGGUGGCCGUGCAUUGGCGGGAGGCGACAGUUGACAUGAUUAUGUACGUAUCAGUGUGGCGUGUAUGUAUACAAAGAGGAACUGGGUGGCAUUCGAACCCGUGCCACUGUGUAUGCGAAUCCAACACUAGUACUGGGCCAUGUUAGUUUCAAUAGGAAGACUGACAACGUGUCUUAUAUAGGUGGUAUCUAUGGGCGUUAAUAUUUUCUCCCUUGAGGGGGGGGGGCGAAUGCUCAGGAAUAUUGAUUAGACAUGUUAAGAGUCACCAGAGGUGCACAUGUAAAGGGUAGGUAGAUCAGACAAUCGUGAAACAACAUACAAUAUAUCAGUUCAGCUGUCAUAUGUCAUGUUACUAUUUUUUUAAUAGGGGGGAAAAACUCCUGUACACUUUUUAACCUAUUAUGGUGACUAAUAUACCUUCUUGGGAAAUAGUUAAAAUUGCAAGUGCACACACUAGUUCUAACUUUGGCAGGAAACGAUAACAUGGUAUAUCCUUCUCAUUCCGUGAUUUUUUUUUUUAAAUUACAGAAGUUUUAAGAUAACAUAGACCAGUUGGACACCUGCGGUAGAUUUGAUUACGGUGUAUCCCAGUAAAUUUCUUAAAUUCCUCCUUACAUUUUUCACACGACUCUGCUUAAUAUUUCUACACGAAUGGUCAAUUUUUGUUGAUACCCGGCAUCUCUGAAACCUAUGCUAUCCCACACCUCGAUCUACUUACCUGGAGGGUAUUCCAGGGGGUCAGUGCCCCCGCGGCCCGGUCCAUGACCAGGCCUCCCGGUGGAUCAGGACCUGAUCAACCAGGUUGUUACUGUUGGCUGCACGUAGUCCAACAUACGAAUCACAGCCCGGCUGAUCCGGUAGUGACUUUAGGAAUCUGUCCAGCUCCCUCUUGAAGGCAGCCAGGGGUCUAUUGGUAAUUCGCCUAAUGCCUAAUGGGAUGCUGUUGAACAGUCUUGGGCUCCAGACACUUAGUGUUUUCUUUUAAUGUACUAAUGACGCCCCUACUUUUCAUUGGGAGUAUGUUGCACCGCCUGCCCAGUCUUUUGCUUUCGUAAGGAGUGAUUUGUGUGUGCAGAUUAGGGACAAGUCCCCUCUAGGAUUUUCCUGGUGUAGAUUAUGAGGUAUAUCUCUCGCCUGCGCUCCAGUGAGUCUUAUUGGGACUUUAGUAGCUCACUCAUUUCUUUGCUGUCAUCCGUGUAGGUCCCAUCUCAUCUAAGCAGGGGUCUAACACUGCAUGUUGUUUUAGCCUUAGAUUUGGCAUAAGAAAAGAUUUUUUUCCAAUUUCAAGUGCUUCCAAGUUUUCCCAGUAGUUAAGGUGUUUGACGGAACUUAUAUGUGCAGUAAAGGUUCUCUGUACAGUCUCUAGAUCUGCGAUUUCACCUGCUUUGAUUGGAGAUGUUAAUGUACAGCAGUACGUAUACCAGCUUCGAGAGAAGUGAUUUAAAAAGGAUCGUCAUUGGCAUGGCAUCUCGUUGUUUUGAACGUUCUCAUUAUCCAUCCUAUCAUUUUCCUCGCAGAUGUGAUAGUGGCACUGUUGUGAUCCUUUAAUGUGAUAUCCUCAGACAUUACCACUCCCAGGUCCUUCACAUUACUUCUAUGUGAUUAGAGUUGUAGUGUACUCUACAACUCUAGUUUUCCAUAAAGGAGUAGUUGGAAUUUCUUCUUUAACAUCAUGUUUUCAGUUGCCCAUUGGAAAACUGGUUUAUAUCUUCUUGUAGAUUUGCCGUAUCCUAGAAUCGUCUGCAAAGGAUAGCACGGUGCUGUGGUUUACAUCUCUGAUAGGAUGAGUAACAGGAUGAGUAACCUAUGCUAUCUCGUAUCUCGGUAACUUGUGGUACCCCCACACACCUGUAACUUACGCUACUCCAUGGCUCUGUAAUCAGUUCUACCUCUCACUUCUGUAACCUGUUACCCCACACCUCUGUAACCUAUGCUAUCCCCAUACCUCUAACCUGUGCUGCCCCCACACCUCUGUAACCUGUGCUGCCCCCACACCUCUGUAACCUGUGCUGUCUCCACAUCUCUGUAACCUGUGAUGCCCCCACCUCUGUAACCUGUGCUGCCCCCACACGUCUGUAACCUUUGUUACCCCACUAUGCAGUAAUAAAAACUCUUAGACAUCUUCAGCGUUUUGUGAAUCUCCCCUAUUUAUUCUGAC